Molecule: ribosomal RNA, 254 nt
Filed under: uncultured bacterium
Lineage: Bacteria
Description: partial 16S ribosomal RNA
Rfam family: Bacterial small subunit ribosomal RNA
Source: RNAcentral
UACAGAGGGGGCAAGCGUUGUUCGGAAUUACUGGGCGUAAAGGGCGCGUAGGCGGCCUGCUAAGUCGAACGUGAAAUCCCUGGGCUCAACCCCAGGAACUGCGUCCGAUACUGGUUGGCUUGAAUCCGGGAGAGGGAUGCGGAAUUCCAGGUGUAGCGGUGAAAUGCGUAGAUAUCUGGAGGAACACCGGUGGCGAAGGCGGCAUCCUGGACCGGCAUUGACGCUGAGGAGCGAAAGCGUGGGGAGCGAACAGG